CUUCUUUUUCCCCGGAGCUUGCUCCACCGGAAAAAGAGGAGUGGCGAACGGGUGAGUAACACGUGGGUAACCUGCCCAUCAGAAGGGGAUAACACUUGGAAACAGGUGCUAAUACCGUAUAACAAUCAAAACCGCAUGGUUUUGAUUUGAAAGGCGCUUUCGGGUGUCGCUGAUGGAUGGACCCGCGGUGCAUUAGCUAGUUGGUGAGGUAACGGCUCACCAAGGCCACGAUGCAUAGCCGACCUGAGAGGGUGAUCGGCCACAUUGGGACUGAGACACGGCCCAAACUCCUACGGGAGGCAGCAGUAGGGAAUCUUCGGCAAUGGACGAAAGUCUGACCGAGCAACGCCGCGUGAGUGAAGAAGGUUUUCGGAUCGUAAAACUCUGUUGUUAGAGAAGAACAAGGAUGAGAGUAACUGUUCAUCCCUUGACGGUAUCUAACCAGAAAGCCACGGCUAACUACGUGCCAGCAGCCGCGGUAAUACGUAGGUGGCAAGCGUUGUCCGGAUUUAUUGGGCGUAAAGCGAGCGCAGGCGGUUUCUUAAGUCUGAUGUGAAAGCCCCCGGCUCAACCGGGGAGGGUCAUUGGAAACUGGGAGACUUGAGUGCAGAAGAGGAGAGUGGAAUUCCAUGUGUAGCGGUGAAAUGCGUAGAUAUAUGGAGGAACCCAGUGGCGAGGCGGCUCUCUGGUCUGUACUGA
This 699-nucleotide ribosomal RNA is filed under the name uncultured bacterium. RNAcentral describes it as "bacterial SSU rRNA". It matches the Rfam family "Bacterial small subunit ribosomal RNA", at positions 69 to 743 of the family's 1533-position model. The record is from RNAcentral.